This 135-nucleotide ribosomal RNA is filed under the name Castor canadensis (American beaver). Lineage: Eukaryota; Metazoa; Chordata; Mammalia; Rodentia; Castoridae. The record is from RNAcentral.
GUCUACAGCCAUACCGCCCUGAAAGUGCCCAAUCUCAUCUGGUCUUAGAAGCUAAGCAGGGUUGGGCCUGGUUAGUACUCGGAUGGGAUAAAGAUCUUCAGAGGCAGCUGCUCAGAGACAAGCAGUUUGGAGACA